UUCCCGUAAUCACACAAUAGAGUUUGAGGAUUUUAUCAGCAAUCAUUUGCGAAUUCGUGACAAGGGAACUCAUACUAUGCUCCAAGCAGAUCUAGUUGAGCACUUGUGGCAACGUCACUUGGCUAAUAUCAAUAAUUGAGGGUGUACAGCAAUGAGAGGUGAAGGAGCUAUUGCAGUAUUGGACGCUGCCGCUGGAGGUUGGUUAGAUAGAAACAGGCUUGUGGUGGUCUCAAGGGAGGUUUAAGUACCUUCUUUAGGUCUUAUAAUUUGGGCAUUAUGGUCGGAAUGGUGAAGAAAAUGUGGGUGGUGUGUGUGGUGGUUUUGGUCUUGAACUUUGGGGAUCCUUUGGUUGAUA
Rosa chinensis is the source of this 355-nucleotide long non-coding RNA. RefSeq lists it as uncharacterized. The record is from RefSeq and is a predicted model, not a curated record. NCBI's taxonomy places the organism in Eukaryota, Viridiplantae, Streptophyta, Magnoliopsida, Rosales, Rosaceae. The transcript is spliced from 4 exons.